AUUCACCCAUACGUGAAUGAGAUUCACAUUGAGGUGAAUUUUAUUCACUCAUACGUGAAUUUCAAUUACUUUUAUGUGGAUUGCAUUUACGUAUGGGUGAAUAAAAUUCACAUAUAGGUGAAUACAAUUCACGUAUGAGUGAAUAGCAUUCACCUAAAUGUGAAUCUCAUUCACGCAUGGGUGAAU
Molecule: microRNA precursor, 186 nt
Filed under: Melampsora larici-populina 98AG31
Lineage: Eukaryota; Fungi; Basidiomycota; Pucciniomycetes; Pucciniales; Melampsoraceae
Description: microRNA MIR807
Source: RNAcentral